Molecule: transfer RNA, 77 nt
Filed under: Citrobacter koseri
Lineage: Bacteria; Pseudomonadati; Pseudomonadota; Gammaproteobacteria; Enterobacterales; Enterobacteriaceae
Also listed under: 53 other names
Description: tRNA-Arg
Rfam family: tRNA
About the family: Transfer RNA (tRNA) molecules are approximately 80 nucleotides in length. Their secondary structure includes four short double-helical elements and three loops (D, anti-codon, and T loops).
Source: RNAcentral
GCGCCCUUAGCUCAGUUGGAUAGAGCAACGGCCUUCUAAGCCGUGGGUCGCAGGUUCGAAUCCUGCAGGGCGUGCCA